AAAAAGGGCUUCUGCCAUGCGUGGCAUGGGGGGGGGGCUUCAGCUACCCCCGUGGAAUCAAUGUCAAGAGAUUUUGGAAGCACAGUUUUUGUGGGAGGGGUUGCCAGAAACUGCCUGUUCUGGCACGAAA
Gallus gallus (chicken) is the source of this 130-nucleotide small nuclear RNA. The record is from Ensembl. NCBI's taxonomy places the organism in Eukaryota, Metazoa, Chordata, Aves, Galliformes, Phasianidae.